This 3529-nucleotide long non-coding RNA is filed under the name Nicotiana tabacum (common tobacco). RNAcentral describes it as "long non-coding RNA (NTAB_LNC007300)". Lineage: Eukaryota; Viridiplantae; Streptophyta; Magnoliopsida; Solanales; Solanaceae. The record is from RNAcentral.
UCUACCAGCCUCCACAAAAAUUUUCAAAUGCCCUAUAACCCACAUCCAAGUCGGGGGUAUAGAAGAGCACAAAGGCUGAAAGAUAAUUUUACACCAAUAGGAGAGUCCUAUGCAAGCUUGUUUGAGAAAUUAAAGCAAUAUGACAUGAUUGCACAUAUUCCUUCAAAUCAUGUGGACCCCCAUGCAAGAAGCUUUGACCCUUCUAAAAGGUGUGAAUACCAUUCCAAUGCCUAGGGGUACAAUGUUGAAAGUUGUCGGGAUUUGAAAAGAGAAAUAGAAAGGAAGAUCCAAGAAAACCUGAUUGUGAUCCAAGACAGUGACACCCAGAAUAUCACGCAGAAUCCUUUACCUUCACAUCAUGAUGCACACUUUAUGGGGAUGAUGCCUGGUGACAUGGAGUAUGAGAAUCCUCUCGGGAACUUGCUAACUGAAGUUAAUGAUGUUGAAAUUAGAGAAGGCUCUGCUGAUUCUGGUGAGCAAAUUUGUGGCUAAAUGUCAAGCCUAGCAAUUGAAAAGUCAUUCCCUCCUCACUAGGAAGGAAUCUUGGUAGCUUGUUUUGAUGUUUUUUCUAUUAUCUGGGUUAUUUUAGGAUUGUGAUCCAGAUUUUAUUUGUUUUAUUGAGUCAAAUCCUUCUAUCCCUCCAUUUUAUUUGUGUGAGUCUUGUCUGUCUGUUCUGUUGCUAAUUUCAUUAUUCGGGUUAUUUUAGGGUUGUAACUCGUAUUUUGGGUUGCUUGUUUAGUUGUAAAACCCUUUCAUCAUUUACUCAAUAAAAUAUAGUUUGUCUUUUUGUAUCAUUCUGUUCCUAGUUCUUUUGUCGCUAGUUCUAAUGACAUGACAUGCAUGCGGAAAUUUUGGCCAGAUCUUAGGAACUGAUUUAAUCUGGAAUUGGAUAAUUAAAAAUAAAAAAUAAAAAAUACAUUUGAGGAUGAAUAAAGAGUUGGAAUACUUUGGAACUAAGGUCGAGUAAAAUUUACUUUCAAAUCAUUGUGAAGAUCAGGCUUGAGGAUGUUUAAUCAAUUGAAGUUUGUUGGAAAGCUUGUCACUAAGGGAUGAAAAAAAUGUCUUGUGACCACGGCACACCAAGAAGACAUACAUGUUCAUCAAUGUUGCGAUCGCGAAAAGAUACUAUGUUUGGCGUUCUCGAGGCUGGGAGGCCCUUUUUGUGCUACCCAAACACUUUAUAUCCUUCUCUACCCCCUUUGAGCUUGUAUUAUUUUCUUUGACCACGCUCUUUUGGAAUCAAGUUUAGAGUCAAGAGUCAAAAAAAAGAAAAAAAGAAAAAAAGAAAAAAAAAGUCCAUGUCCCAAGAGUACAAACUGGGGCAAUUUUCAAGUGAAAAAAAAAUGAAGAAGAAAAGAACUGGCAAAGAUCCAUGCCCCCAGAAAAUAGAAACUGGGGUAACCUGUUUUGAAAGGAAAAAAAAUAAAAGAAAAGAAAAGAAAAAAACAACAGAAAGAAAAAUGAAAAACAAUUAGUUAGGUCAGAUGUUUGAACUAUGUUCGACCUGAUUCCUUUAAAAAAAGGAUACGUAGGCAACCUCAUGGUUCAGUCCAACCAAAAAAAAAGAGAAAAAAAAAUUCCAAAAAAUCCCCAAUAGCUGAAACUGGGGCAAAGAUUUUAUUUCAUUUUUGAAAGAGUCGACUCCAAGAGUUGUAAGUUUACAACCCCAAUCAUUUUGAGUCAACUUUGAGCCUUCAUGCCGACCUUUUUGUCCAACCCUAUCCAAAAACCUUCCAAAUAAAGACCUCCCGAUACGCCUUCAAGAAUGCCAAGAGAAGCAUUCAAUGAGCAACGGCGGUCACGCGACAUAGAACACUGUCAAGAUGCUCGCACAAGAAAAGCGAAAGAAAAAGAAAAAGAAAAAGAAAAAUGAGAGAGUUUUAUUAGUGAAAACCAUCAUGGGCACUGUAAGACGACGGUAAGCAGAGAUGAAUAAAUGAGAGAGACUUAUUGGUGAAAAUCCCUCGGGGCACCACUAAUCGAAAGUGAGUCGUGAAGUUAAUGCAAAGAAUUGGCACAAGCAAGCCUGACUUUAAAGGUCAAGAAUGGUAAAAAGGAAGAUUAAAUCAGUUUGAUAGACCGUUGAGUCCAAAAUGCAUGUCAUGAUCAUUAAGGCUAGUUAGCGCAAAAUAAAAAAAAUGAAAAAAACUCUUCCCCUAUCCUUCCCGACCAGGGCAUUUCUUGUUAAUAUUUGUUUCUUUGUGUCAUUGUGUCCUUCACCCUGAGUCAGUCCUUCUCAAAACAAGCAAGAAAAGAUUUCAAAAUCUGCUACCAGCUUUUCAGUUGUACAAAGUAAAUUUGACCAGCAAACUCAGUUGUUAAUGUCAACAUGCCUUGAGGAUUCAUACAAAGGCUCCCCCAAAAGACUAUUGUCAGCCUGCUUGGCGCAAACAAAGACAACUCGUGAUUCUCUCUAACAGACAAAUUGCUCAAAGCAUGAAGUCAUUCAAGAUAUCAGAAAAGGUCAUCUAAGAAAAGAUCUCCAGUUGGGAUAAUGCUUAUUGAGCCAGAAAUACAAAUGAUACCGGGUGUUAAACAGUCAGAGUUGGUGCAGAACAAAAGUUUCUUGAGACCGACUCAAGAUAAUUGAGAAAAAGCCAAGCUGCUCAAGACUUAAGGCCACAACCCGACCACCAUUUUCAAAACUGACAAAUUUUCUUUGUAUGAAACAGGAACAAAGCAGUGCAAGGAAUAUGGUUCAAAAAAAAAGUAGGGAAAAGAAAAGAGAAAAAGAAAGAAAAAUAGAAAAAAAAAAGAAGAAAAAAAAUGAAAAUGAAAAGAAGAGAAGAGCCGCCAAAGGGAAGUUUCUCAAAUUUUUGCCUUUUUCUAUCUUGCUCAUGUGCAUAAAAUUUUGUCAUUUGAUCUUCACAUUUUUCCUCCUAGGAUAAAAAGUCCUAGUCUGAUGGAUUUUCCUCCCAAUAUAAACCUAGUCUGAUGAACUUUCUCCUAGGAUCGAAAUCUUAGUCGGAUGAAUUUUUCUCCUAAGAUGAAAAACCUAGUCUGAUGAACUUUCUCCUAGGAUCACAAUCUUAGUCUGAUAAAUUUUUCUCCUAAGAUAGAGGACCUAAUCUGAUGAAUUUUCUCCUAGGAUCAAAAUCUUAGUCGGAUGAAUCUUUCUCCUAAGAUAAUAAAUUAGAAAACCUAAUCUGAUGAACUUUCUCCUAGGAUAGAUGUCUUAGUCUGAUGAAUUUUUCUCCUAAGAUAGAAAACCUAGUCUGAUGAACUUUCUCCUAGGAUAGAUGUCUUGGUCUGAUGAAUUUUUCUCCUAAGAUAGAAAACCUAGUCUGAUGAAUUUUCUCCUAGGAUCAAAAUCUUAGUCUGCUGAAUCUUUCUCCUAUGAUAGAAAACCUAGUCUGAUGAAUUUUCUCCUAGGAUAAACGUCUUAGUCGAAUGAAUCUUUCUCCUAAGAUACCAAAAAAACAAAAACAAAAAAAGAGAGAGAAAAAGGACCUAGUCUGAUGAAUUUUCUCCUAAGAUUAACGUCUUAGUCUGAUGAAUCUUUCUCCUAAGAUAGAAAAUCUAGUCUGAC